GGAGUUUUAGUUUAACAGGCAAAACACUUGGCGUAGUCAAGGCGUAAUCGGUUCGAGUCCGAUAAACUCCUCCC
Molecule: transfer RNA, 74 nt
Filed under: Bacillus thuringiensis
Lineage: Bacteria; Bacillati; Bacillota; Bacilli; Caryophanales; Bacillaceae
Also listed under: 1 other name
Description: tRNA-Tyr
Rfam family: tRNA
About the family: Transfer RNA (tRNA) molecules are approximately 80 nucleotides in length. Their secondary structure includes four short double-helical elements and three loops (D, anti-codon, and T loops).
Source: RNAcentral